GCCGGCGUAGCUCAACUGGCAGAGCGUCCGCCUUGUAAGCGGAAGGUUCGGGGUUCGAGUCCCCGCGUCGGCUCCA
Molecule: transfer RNA, 76 nt
Filed under: Pseudonocardiaceae bacterium
Lineage: Bacteria; Bacillati; Actinomycetota; Actinomycetes; Pseudonocardiales; Pseudonocardiaceae
Also listed under: 2 other names
Description: tRNA-Thr
Rfam family: tRNA
About the family: Transfer RNA (tRNA) molecules are approximately 80 nucleotides in length. Their secondary structure includes four short double-helical elements and three loops (D, anti-codon, and T loops).
Source: RNAcentral